AGAGUUUGAUCAUGGCUCAGGACGAACGCUGGCGGCGUGCCUAAUACAUGCAAGUAGAACGCUGAAGAGAGGAGCUUGCUCUUCUUGGAUGAGUUGCGAACGGGUGAGUAACGCGUAGGUAACCUGCCUUGUAGCGGGGGAUAACUAUUGGAAACGAUAGCUAAUACCGCAUAACAAUGGAUGACCCAUGUCAUUUAUUUGAAAGGGGCAAAUGCUCCACUACAAGAUGGACCUGCGUUGUAUUAGCUAGUAGGUGAGGUAACGGCUCACCUAGGCGACGAUACAUAGCCGACCUGAGAGGGUGAUCGGCCACACUGGGACUGAGACACGGCCCAGACUCCUACGGGAGGCAGCAGUAGGGAAUCUUCGGCAAUGGGGGCAACCCUGACCGAGCAACGCCGCGUGAGUGAAGAAGGUUUUCGGAUCGUAAAGCUCUGUUGUAAGUCAAGAACGAGUGUGAGAGUGGAAAGUUCACACUGUGACGGUAGCUUACCAGAAAGGGACGGCUAACUACGUGCCAGCAGCCGCGGUAAUACGUAGGUCCCGAGCGUUGUCCGGAUUUAUUGGGCGUAAAGCGAGCGCAGGCGGUUUGAUAAGUCUGAAGUUAAAGGCUGUGGCUCAACCAUAGUUCGCUUUGGAAACUGUCAAACUUGAGUGCAGAAGGGGAGAGUGGAAUUCCAUGUGUAGCGGUGAAAUGCGUAGAUAUAUGGAGGAACACCGGUGGCGAAAGCGGCUCUCUGGUCUGUAACUGACGCUGAGGCUCGAAAGCGUGGGGAGCGAACAGGAUUGGAUACCCUGGUAGUCCACGCCGUAAACGAUGAGUGCUAGGUGUUGGAUCCUUUCCGGGAUUCAGUGCCGCAGCUAACGCAUUAAGCACUCCGCCUGGGGAGUACGACCGCAAGGUUGAAACUCAAAGGAAUUGACGGGGGCCCGCACAAGCGGUGGAGCAUGUGGUUUAAUUCGAAGCAACGCGAAGAACCUUACCAGGUCUUGACAUCCCGAUGCUAUUUCUAGAGAUAGAAAGUUACUUCGGUACAUCGGUGACAGGUGGUGCAUGGUUGUCGUCAGCUCGUGUCGUGAGAUGUUGGGUUAAGUCCCGCAACGAGCGCAACCCCUAUUGUUAGUUGCCAUCAUUCAGUUGGGCACUCUAGCGAGACUGCCGGUAAUAAACCGGAGGAAGGUGGGGAUGACGUCAAAUCAUCAUGCCCCUUAUGACCUGGGCUACACACGUGCUACAAUGGUUGGUACAACGAGUUGCGAGUCGGUGACGGCAAGCUAAUCUCUUAAAGCCAAUCUCAGUUCGGAUUGUAGGCUGCAACUCGCCUACAUGAAGUCGGAAUCGCUAGUAAUCGCGGAUCAGCACGCCGCGGUGAAUACGUUCCCGGGCCUUGUACACACCGCCCGUCACACCACGAGAGUUUGUAACACCCGAAAUCGGUGAGGUAACCUUUUGGAGCCAGCCGCCUAAGGUGGGAUAGAUGAUUGGGGUGAAGUCGUAACAAGGUA
This 1506-nucleotide ribosomal RNA is filed under the name metagenome. RNAcentral describes it as "bacterial SSU rRNA". It matches the Rfam family "Bacterial small subunit ribosomal RNA". The record is from RNAcentral.